This is a non-coding RNA of Paramuricea clavata, 135 nucleotides long. NCBI's taxonomy places the organism in Eukaryota, Metazoa, Cnidaria, Anthozoa, Malacalcyonacea, Plexauridae. The record is from the annotation of a GenBank genome assembly.
UAUCCAACACCAUUUUGGUGUUGGAUGCGUCCAAAACCAUUUUGGUUUUGGAUGAAUCCAACACCAUUUUGGUUUUGGAUGCAUCCAACACCAUUUUGGUCUUGGAAGUAUCCAACACCAUUUUGGUCUUGGAUG